CUGAAUGUACAGAAGAGUCAUGGCUCAAUCCCUACCAAUGUACAGCCACUGUGCAGUUUUAAUUGCCAGUGGAAUUUCAACCAUAAACAGAAAUCUGAGCCUUUAGUGCAUAGUUCAAUACAAUGGGCCAAAAUCUGCCCUUUUUUUAAAUGCCAUGCAAUAGUCCUGAAAUCACUGGUGUAGCAAAGGGUGCAAGUCAGGGCAGAAUUUGGCCAUAUGUACAGUAUUAUGAGUUAUUUGUUAGGCUCUCUGGACUAGAUUUUGUUCUCACUUACAGUGGUGUAUAUCUAGAGUGACUCCACUAAAGUUAAUUUGAGUUCACAUCAGUGUGACUGAGAGCAGAAUCUGGCCUUCAGAAUUCAAAUAUUCCCAGUUUGCGGCAGUACAGAGACAGGAGGAUAUAGCCCAUGAAAGUAACUGAAAGCAUUUUCAGGAUGUCAAAGAAAAGGCAGGAACAGCAAGAGCGACUUCUAAAGUAAAGUGAAGAAGCUUCCUUCUGCCAAGGUCAUCUCCAGCCAGUGGGCAGAAGGAUUGGACAACCUCGCUAAGAAUUUUUCAUCUGUUUUCUG
This is a long non-coding RNA of Dermochelys coriacea (leatherback sea turtle), 569 nucleotides long. RefSeq lists it as uncharacterized. The record is from RefSeq and is a predicted model, not a curated record. The transcript has 3 exons. Lineage: Eukaryota; Metazoa; Chordata; Testudines; Dermochelyidae.